RNAcentral lists this transfer RNA (64 nucleotides) under Popenaias popeii. Its description in RNAcentral is "tRNA-Ala". Lineage: Eukaryota; Metazoa; Mollusca; Bivalvia; Unionida; Unionidae. The record is from RNAcentral.
AGCUCCAUACUUUAAAAAAAAGAUUUGAUUUGCAAUCAACCAUUGGGUUAUACCUCUGGAACUA